This is a non-coding RNA of Manis javanica (Malayan pangolin), 4814 nucleotides long. NCBI's taxonomy places the organism in Eukaryota, Metazoa, Chordata, Mammalia, Pholidota, Manidae. The record is from RefSeq and is a predicted model, not a curated record.
AGAGACACAGAAUCUCAGUCAUAAUAUAAAAUAGUCACAGAGAUAAAAUUCCAGCAUUUUAUCUGGAAUAAAAUUAGUACUUCUAUGAUACCUUUUUACGUUGACAGUAAUUACACUGGUUGGGGUGAGAUUUAAUAAUGUAUAUAACUCUUGAAUCACUCUUUUGUAUACUUCAGGUGAAGUUAAUAUUGUUUAUCAGCUACAUGUCAGUAAGAAAAUAUAUCCAAGAAAAAGAAAAAAGAAAAAUAUAUCCAGUGCAAAUCUAUGUGGGGAUGAACAUCUCAUUUGUUUCAACUUUUGACAGUGGUGGAAGUGUAUAAUGCAACUUGACAUUCACUUAUGAGUCACAGAUUACUUGAUGAAAUGCCUUUAUCUCCAUAUAAGUUUUGCAUGAAGAAGACUUCUACAGCAGAGAGGUAACAGCACAGAAAGCAGAGGCUGGGAACAGUGGGAGACAAUCUUCAUCUGCUCCACAAUGCACCUAUUGUCUAUGUCAUGUGUGGAGCUAUCUGAAACUUUGCAUGAGAAAAAUAUAUGCAGAACUCAGAGGGACUCGGCAAGUUUUCCUACGGUUCAAGGGCAGCCAGAAUCUUUUCUCAGAAAUAGCAGUUUUUGUACAAAAGGACAAGGAAACUCACAGCAUAUGGUCUCCGCCUAGUCCUCAUGGAGCAGCAUUCACCUGCAUUUGGAAGAUGUCCUUGAACUCCUGUGCAGAUUAGAGUCCAGUUUCCUCAGCUCAUCCUAGACUGACAAUGCUUGAGACCCUUUCCCAGUCUCAGGAGAGAUCCUGAUGAAAACUGUGGAUCAAGUCCCCCAAAAGAGACCCAUAUUUUUACAUAUAAUUUCAGGUCCUGAAAAGCCUGUUCACGAAACCCAAGUUAAGAACACCUACAGCAGAGUUAGGACCAGCAAAACAGGCUUUAGUUUUUGGCUUUCUUCUUUGAAAUAUAAACUUUAUUAUAUUCUGAUUUAGUUUCAUUUUGGCCCACUUUACUCCAAAGAGUGUUUGUGGGCUACAAAGACAUUUUGAGGUGUCCUUUUCUUUCUGUUCCUAGAUCUAUGUUAUAUCAUGACAGUGGGAUAAUUUUAGUAACCUCUGAGAUGUGUUAUUGACACACCUUUUGCUAAUCAGUUACUCAUCACAAUUCUCUAUUCUCCUUGGUGCACUUGCUACCUCUGUUCUUUUAGUGGCAUUCUUUCUAUUUAUAUGCUGAUGCAUUAGCAUACAAAUCUAUAACCACAAAAUAUUUCAUGCAAGAGUCCUAUAAGAAAUUAAUUACUGUACAAAAUGGAGGAAUGUUAGCUGUUAAAUGUUGCUGUGAUUUUAUUAAGACAGCCUGGAAUUUAAUUCAUAAACAUUAGUGAGGUUUUUAUUCAAAUCAUCACAUUUUCACUAUGCAACUAUAAACCUCCUACUUUACCUUUUUCUGUUUUAAGAAUGUAGAAAUGCUUUCAACUUACACAACAACUAUUCCCUUGCAUCUAGAAGGCAAUAACUUCAGCUUUCAAACUUGCUUUGUCAAUUGCCCAUUCUUAGAAAUGGUGGACACAUUUUACACUAUGUGAAUAAUAAUGAACAAUGCUGCCCAGUGAUUUAUAACUCUAAGAGCUUUAAAAUGUGAUUUAUGAACAUAUCUCAAAUUUUCCACUGGCAGUUCAUACAACUAUGAGUACAUUUUCUAGCCAGAUGACUCAGUAUUUUGCUGUAUGACUAAUCCCACACUCUGUGGAAAACUAUAUUAAUGAAUUCUAUUUGCUUGUGGAUAAUAGAUGAUUACUUUCCAAAAACUGUCUGCAAAGCAUUAUGGAGUAGAUGAAUUCAAUUACACUGAUGUUUUAAACUUUCAAACUCAGCAGACUUAUUUUGGGAAGUCUGUAAUGCUCACAAGAAAGAACAUUUUUCCCCCCACAGUAGUUUCAGGAAUUCCACAACCCAUAGGGCAACAGAUCCUAAUCAGGCUCUAAAAUUUCUUAACUGUUACAAGAACAAUUUGGAAUUAUUCCAGUUGAAGUAUUUUCUCUUCCAAUGAUGCCUUUCAGUUAUUUUAAAAUUUUUUAUUAUGAUAAAAUGAGCAUAAAGCCCUUUUCCAGGGAAUAUUUGCUGAAAAUAAUACUUGAUAUUAUUGAACCUAAUUAUUGUUCCUUCAAAAACUCAAAUUUUAAAAAGGCAGUUCUGAUCCAGUCACAUGAUGGCUCCCCUGAUUCUGGCGGUUAGAAAUCACCUCCAAGAUUACAUUAGAUGAUGUAGGUUCCUCCAGAGUACAUAGUUUCCUUACCUUCCAUACAAGAACAUGUGUAUUGUUAGCACAUGGCCUGGUCUUAUACUGUCAUGAAAUAAACAGGCCAUACAUUUCCUUAGUUUCCUUUCAAAUCCUUCCAUGCUAAUUAAUUCUGUGAGUAAAGAACUUCAGUUGGGAACAAGUAGAUUACCAGCCCCAAAUCAGUAUGAUUUACUUCUACUCAUUUAUUGCUAUCACCAUUCUUACCUAAGCUUUUUCUUUUUAAGGAGAUAAUAUUUCAAGGUAAUGUUCUUGUGUGAUUACGGCUUGGGUAGUAUACUUACUUCCAUAUGGGUUUGUUAUAAAAGCUUACAGACAACCUGGGCUACAUUCCAAGGUUUUCCUUCUCUUUGCCCAGAAAUCAUUCUUCUAUUCCGAGUAUUAGUAGCCAGGGCUGGUGGGAGAAGACUAUGGGCAGGGAGCCAUCAGAACUAGUCAGGGUCAGUUUUAACUCUGCAGGGUCAAAAGCAGACCGAGAGCAGGAGGAGCCAGCCUGGGGGACUCAAGGCAUGUUAAUACGAUUAAACCACGAAUGCCAAGGAGAAUUCCUUCUUCUCCCCUCUCUCCAACUCUUACUUUCUCUCCCACAGCUGGUUCCUUUUCCCAGGGUCCUCAGAAAAUUGUUCAGGAACGUAUAUUGAUGAAACAACCAUUAUUGGCCUUUGCUCAGGGUUUAGCUGCCUUUCUGCUCAUCACUUUUAGAGUUAAAUAUCUUUAAAGAUUGUGGACAGAGUUCUUUCCUCUGUUUCCCCUCCUAUUCUGUCUUCAAUCCAUUAGUGUCUGGUUUUAGCCUCUCCCACUACAAUGAAUCAGCUCCCUGGAAGGUUUCCAGAGGUGGACCAGUCACCAGUCCUCAGUCUUCAUCCUCCUAAACCUCAUUUAUGUGUCUGUCCUUAAAAGCCACCAAACUGGAAGGCGUCCCACUUGGCUUCCAUCAUCUUGCCUUCUGUUCUCCUUCUCCAGCCCACAAAUGGAAGUCAUCUCCAAAGUUCUGAUCCCAAUUGUUUCUGCAGUUACUCUUACUCAGUCAUUUCAUCCAUAUCCAUGGCUUCAACUGUAAUUUAGAUCAAUGGCUCCCAGUCUGUCCCUGGUUCUGACUGCCCCACCCAUAUUUUCCAUGGGCUUCCUGGAUAAUUUCACAUGGAUGUCCUUCUAACAUCUCCACCUGAAUGGGUCUCAAACUUAGUUUGUCAUUUCCUUCAAAACUGUCCCUGCACCCUAGCUCAAAACUUGUCAUUCUCAUUUCCUCCCUUUCCCUCAAUUGGAUGCUAUAUAGCUUAGGGUGGAGGCUUCUUUUCUAGUGGUUUCUUUGUGACCCAUAAAUUAGGAAUUUAUGCCACAAUUUCCUAAUUUAUACACUUCUAGGAGAUGUGUCUGCCAUUUUAUUAAAGCCCCUUACUCUUCUCUUUGGGACAUGAAUGACUCAGUGAUGAGGGAAACUGGGGAGGGCCUGCUAGCCACUCAGGGCAGGCCUGAUGUGCAGAAGGUCCCUCCUCAUGUAUGGCCCUGUCUCUUGCUCACUCACGCUGCAUGCCUUGUGGGUUGAAGAUGGUCAGGCCCUUUUUAGCCUCUGGUCUUUAGGUAAGAAACAGCAGGGGAAGGGUCUCUUGUUGCCCUAGUGUUGAGAAGGCCUGUAGUUGUUCAGCUGUGACUGGGUGGGAAUGGAGAAUUCAGGGAAAAGGAGUGACAUCCCAUUUUGGCCUUGACUCACUAAGCCAUUCUCUUCAAUCUGAACUUACCCUGAAUAAAGUGAAUAUUUUACUUUCCCUUUGGUUCCUCAUGUGUGUUCAGUUGAGUUGACAGCACAAAGGGAAGGAGGGUCAUCUUCCACAUACCUGACACCAAAGGUUCUUCAUUAUUUUUCCCAACUCAUUUGUCUUCUCUUGGGUGACAGUGCUAACUCAUGAUCACAAAAAGUCAAAAAAUUAUAUAUACAUUUCCAUCUUGAUUUUCAUUUCUUGAAAGAUUUGGCCAUGGACCUUCCUCCUCCAUCCAUACCCCCAAACUUUAAAUGUUUUUGUGACUUUGAUACAAUGUCAAUUAUGAUUUUUUAAUGAAAACCUAACAGAAAGGAAAAGGCAUACAUUCUACUGAAUUAACAUCUAAAAAGGAUUGAUUGGCCAACUUAAUAUUUAUUAAUUUCCACAAUGGGUUAAUGUCACAUAAAAACAAAGAAGCAAUUAAUAACGUCAUUUGGAGAAGGAAGCGAUAAAUUCACACAAAAAAAUAACACCCCCAAAACAACAGAAAAUAACAAUGGAACCUAAUACUAAAUUCUUGCAAUGAUUUGGUUUCCUUAUUAUUAGUAUCCUUGGGAUAACUGAUCUAAAGUACAGAAAUAAGUGCAUCUAAAAAGAAAUAUCUAUAAUCCUACUGCCUGGCAGUUAAGCAUUUGCCUGCCAAGAAAGAUAAAUGAUGUUACUGUGUGCACUUGAAACUUAUAAAUGGCUGCAGCAGGACUCAGGAUGAUAACAAUUGUGCUGAAGUAAUAGAGUAAUAGUUCAGAGAACCAUAAUUGCUAUUUAGUUGCUUUUU